This 53-nucleotide transfer RNA is filed under the name Facelina auriculata. RNAcentral describes it as "tRNA-Leu". The record is from RNAcentral. Lineage: Eukaryota; Metazoa; Mollusca; Gastropoda; Nudibranchia; Facelinidae.
CUAAACUUUAAGCGUUUACCAUGACCCUAGGUCUUUCAUAUCUUUUCGGUGUU